This 254-nucleotide long non-coding RNA is filed under the name Elaeis guineensis (African oil palm). Its description in RNAcentral is "long non-coding RNA (EGUI_LNC005787)". Lineage: Eukaryota; Viridiplantae; Streptophyta; Magnoliopsida; Arecales; Arecaceae. The record is from RNAcentral.
UCCCCCAAUAUACGUCCGAAUCAAUGAAAGAACCCAUGUGUGGUUGUAGAUGAAUCUAGUAAUGGUCUGGGCAAUCUCCACUACCUGCUGCACCCUGUGAAUCUUUCUGAUAUCCAUCAAUAUAAGAUCAAUGCAAUGUGCAGCACAUGGGGUCCAGUAUAUCUGCGGUCGCUGCUCCAUCAGCAACUCUCCGACAGCCUUAUAUUGUGGUCCGUUAUCUGUGAUGACCUGCACGAUAUGCUGCUCACCCACUG